RNAcentral lists this ribosomal RNA (496 nucleotides) under uncultured bacterium. Its description in RNAcentral is "partial 16S ribosomal RNA". It matches the Rfam family "Bacterial small subunit ribosomal RNA", at positions 28 to 506 of the family's 1533-position model. The record is from RNAcentral.
GAUGAACGCUGGCGGCGUGCCUAAUACAUGCAAGUCGAGCGAACAGACGAGGAGCUUGCUCCUCUGACGUUAGCGGCGGACGGGUGAGUAACACGUGGAUAACCUACCUAUAAGACUGGGAUAACUUCGGGAAACCGGAGCUAAUACCGGAUAAUAUAUUGAACCGCAUGGUUCAAUAGUGAAAGACGGUUUUGCUGUCACUUAUAGAUGGAUCCGCGCCGCAUUAGCUAGUUGGUAAGGUAACGGCUUACCAAGGCAACGAUGCGUAGCCGACCUGAGAGGUGGCUCGGCCACCCGGGAACUGGAACGGGGUCCAGGCCCCUGAGGGAGGCCACAGAGGGGAACUUUCCGCAGGGGGGGAAAGUUUGACGGACGGAGCGCGGGUGUGAUGAAGAAGCUUUGGGUUCGGAAAGCCUUUUUUUUGGGGGAAAACAAAUUUGUAAGGAAAUUAAGCGUGUUUGACGGUACUUAAUAAAAAAGCCCCGGCUAACUACGG